ACGGAGGGUGCAAGCGUUGUCCGGAUUUAUUGGGUUUAAAGGGUGCGUAGGCGGCCUGAUAAGUCAGCGGUGAAAUCCCCUCGCUCAACGAGGGAACUGCCGUUGAUACUGUUAGGCUUGAGUUCGUGCGAGGUUGCUGGAAUGAGUGGUGUAGCGGUGAAAUGCAUAGAUAUCACUCAGAACACCGAUUGCGAAGGCAGGUGACUGGCACGCGACUGACGCUGAGGCACGAAAGUGUGGGGAGCAAACAGG
This 252-nucleotide ribosomal RNA is filed under the name uncultured bacterium. Its description in RNAcentral is "partial 16S ribosomal RNA". It matches the Rfam family "Bacterial small subunit ribosomal RNA", at positions 525 to 776 of the family's 1533-position model. The record is from RNAcentral.